Molecule: non-coding RNA, 789 nt
Organism: Macaca mulatta (Rhesus monkey)
Lineage: Eukaryota; Metazoa; Chordata; Mammalia; Primates; Cercopithecidae
Source: RefSeq, a predicted model, not a curated record
CACGAAAUAAAAGCCCAUGACCAGAUGGCUUCACUGAUGAAUUCUACCAAACAUUUAAUGAAGAAUUAACCUCAAUCCUUCAGAUUCUUCUGAAAAAUAGAAGAGGAGGGAACACUUCCCAGAAGCUGCCUCAGAGGCUGCCUGUCAACACACUCUAUUCUAAGUCUAAAUCCUCAACACAGCACUGCCAGUUUUUUAGAAUCUGGCCCCUGCACCACCUACCCCGUCCUCGUGCGUGUGGCGCUCUAAACUUCCUCUGUUGUUUGUAAGAGUGCACCGUGCUCUCUUCUCACCUCCUGGCCUUCACACCCGCUGGUCCUUCUGCCUGGUGUAGCCUCUCUGCCUCCCCGUCUCUUACUGAUUCCCCUCCACCUUUUGAGACAGCCCCUCCGCAGGAAAUUCCCCUGCACCCCUCCUGACUGUGUGAGGUGUCUCUCCUGAGGGCACCAUACCAUGCGCCUGUGCUCCUGCAGCACUUCUGACUCUGGAAAAAAAAUAUGCCCAUGCAUUUAUCUGCCUCUCUUCCCAGUCCUGGCAGACAGGAAUGGGGAUUUCAAUAGCUUGCAGGGUGCUUCUCACUAGCAAGGCACAUCAACCUUUGCUGAAUAAACGACCUCAGGAUAAGCAGGAGCCAGAGGAAUGCCCAGGUGAAGCCCCACGUCUGCCUGGCCAGGUGCAGUUGAAGUGGUGACAUCCAGCCAGGGAGGGGGAGGAGCACCUGAGACCAGCCUCCAGCCUUGGGGCAUCUGUUGUUGGAACCGGCCAGGUUCACUGAAGACUGGAAACAGG